Molecule: non-coding RNA, 106 nt
Organism: Acanthosepion pharaonis
Lineage: Eukaryota; Metazoa; Mollusca; Cephalopoda; Sepiida; Sepiidae
Source: the annotation of a GenBank genome assembly
AGGGCCACGUUGAAGCAUCCGAUUCCCGUACGAUCGCCAAAGUUAAGUAACGUCGGCCCUGAUCAGUAUCUAUAUGAGUGACCACUUGGGAAUACCAGGUGAUGGA